Molecule: unclassified non-coding RNA, 241 nt
Filed under: rhizosphere metagenome
Description: partial ribosomal RNA internal transcribed spacer region
Source: RNAcentral
GUAGGUGAACCUGCGGAAGGAUCAUUACCAAUAUGAAAGCGGGUGGGGAACCACGGGAACACGGGCUUCGGCUCGCGUUUCUGCCCCGUCUUGCUGAAUAUUCACCCAUGUCUUUUGCGUACUAUUUGUUUCCUUGGUGGGCUUGCCCACCGAUAGGACAAUAUCAAACCUUUUGUAAUUGCAAUCAGCGUCAGAAAAACUUUAAUAGUUACAACUUUCAACAACGGAUCUCUUGGUUCUG